This 510-nucleotide ribosomal RNA is filed under the name Escherichia coli. RNAcentral's name for it is "bacterial SSU rRNA". It matches the Rfam family "Bacterial small subunit ribosomal RNA", at positions 277 to 779 of the family's 1533-position model. The record is from RNAcentral. RNAcentral also lists the same sequence under 1 other name. Lineage: Bacteria; Pseudomonadati; Pseudomonadota; Gammaproteobacteria; Enterobacterales; Enterobacteriaceae.
CGAUCCCUAGCUGGUCUGAGAGGAUGACCAGCCACACUGGAACUGAGACACGGUCCAGACUCCUACGGGAGGCAGCAGUGGGGAAUAUUGCACAAUGGGCGCAAGCCUGAUGCAGCCAUGCCGCGUGUAUGAAGAAGGCCUUCGGGUUGUAAAGUACUUUCAGCGGGGAGGAAGGGAGUAAAGUUAAUACCUUUGCUCAUUGACGUUACCCGCAGAAGAAGCACCGGCUAACUCCGUGCCAGCAGCCGCGGUAAUACGGAGGGUGCAAGCGUUAAUCGGAAUUACUGGGCGUAAAGCGCACGCAGGCGGUUUGUUAAGUCAGAUGUGAAAUCCCCGGGCUCAACCUGGGAACUGCAUCUGAUACUGGCAAGCUUGAGUCUCGUAGAGGGGGGUAGAAUUCCAGGUGUAGCGGUGAAAUGCGUAGAGAUCUGGAGGAAUACCGGUGGCGAAGGCGGCCCCCUGGACGAAGACUGACGCUCAGGUGCGAAAGCGUGGGGAGCAAACAGGAUU